RNAcentral lists this ribosomal RNA (974 nucleotides) under uncultured bacterium. Its description in RNAcentral is "bacterial SSU rRNA". It matches the Rfam family "Bacterial small subunit ribosomal RNA", at positions 80 to 1062 of the family's 1533-position model. The record is from RNAcentral.
CUUCGGAACUAGAGACCGGCGCACGGGUGCGUAACGCGUAUGCAAUCUACCUUUUACAGAGGGAUAGCCCAGAGAAAUUUGGAUUAAUACCUCAUAGUAUGUGAGAAUCGCAUGGUUUUCACAUUAAAGUUCCAACGGUAAAAGAUGAGCAUGCGUCCCAUUAGCUAGAUGGUAAGGUAACGGCUUACCAUGGCGACGAUGGGUAGGGGUCCUGAGAGGAAGAUCCCCCACAUUGGAACUGAGACACGGUCCAAACUCCUACGGGAGGCAGCAGUGAGGAAUAUUGGUCAAUGGGCGCAAGCCUGAACCAGCCAAGUAGCGUGCAGGAUGACGGCCCUAUGGGUUGUAAACUGCUUUAGUCCGGGGGUAAAGUCGUCCACGUGUGGACGUUUGCAAGUACCGGAAGAAUAAGGACCGGCUAAUUCCGUGCCAGCAGCCGCGGUAAUACGGAAGGUUCGGGCGUUAUCCGGAUUUAUUGGGUUUAAAGGGAGCGUAGGCGGAUUUUUAAGUCAGCUGUGAAAUGUACCGGCUCAACCGGUGAACUGCAGUUGAUACUGGAAGUCUUGAGUGUACACAAGGGUAGUGGAAUUUGUGGUGUAGCGGUGAAAUGCUUAGAUAUCACGAAGAACUCCAAUUGCGAAGGCAGCUACCCGGGGUACUACUGACGCUGAGGCUCGAAAGUGCGGGUAUCAAACAGGAUUAGAUACCCUGGUAGUCCGCACGGUAAACGAUGGAUACUCGUGGUGUGCGAUAUACAGUGCGCCACCAAGCGAAAGCAUUAAGUAUCCCACCUGGAGAGUACGCCGGCAACGGUGAAACUCAAAGGAAUUGACGGGGGCCCGCACAAGCGGAGGAACAUGUGGUUUAAUUCGAUGAUACGCGAGGAACCUUACCCGGGCUUGAAUUGCAUAGACGACAUAAGAGAUUAUGUUUCUUCGGACUAUGUGAAGUGCUGCAUGGUUGUCGUCAGCUCG